RNAcentral lists this ribosomal RNA (483 nucleotides) under uncultured bacterium. RNAcentral's name for it is "partial 16S ribosomal RNA". It matches the Rfam family "Bacterial small subunit ribosomal RNA", at positions 28 to 523 of the family's 1533-position model. The record is from RNAcentral.
GACGAACGCUGGCGGCGUGCUUAACACAUGCAAGUCGAACGAUGAAGCUGGAGCUUGCUCCGGUGGAUUAGUGGCGAACGGGUGAGUAACACGUGAGCAAUCUGCCCUUGACUCUGGGAUAACUGCGGGAAACUGUAGCUAAUACCGGAUACGACACCUUGGGGCAUCCCAGGGUGUGGAAAGAAUUUCGGUCAAGGAUGAGCUCGCGGCCUAUCAGCUAGUUGGUGAGGUACUGGCUCACCAAGGCGACGACGGGUAGCCGGCCUGAGAGGGUGACCGGCCACACUGGAACUGAGACACGGUCCAGACUCUUACGGGAGGCAGCAGUGGGGAAUAUUGCACAAUGGGCGAAAGCCUGAUGCAGCAACGCCGCGUGAGGGAUGAAGGCCUUCGGGUUGUAAACCUCUUUUAGCAGGGAAGAAGCGAAAGUGACGGUACCUGCAGAAAAAGCACCGGCUAACUACGUGCCAGCAGCCGCGGUAA